AGCUUUUUGAAUCCGUGCUGAGAUUUCGCCGGACAUCAACCCAUAAGGGCUGGUCAGACUUCCAAGAUAAGUGAAGUU
This 78-nucleotide microRNA precursor is filed under the name Schistosoma mansoni. Its description in RNAcentral is "mir-3492 microRNA precursor family". It matches the Rfam family "mir-3492 microRNA precursor family". The record is from Rfam by way of RNAcentral. Lineage: Eukaryota; Metazoa; Platyhelminthes; Trematoda; Strigeidida; Schistosomatidae.